This 1389-nucleotide ribosomal RNA is filed under the name mycetome symbiont of Placobdelloides jaegerskioeldi. RNAcentral describes it as "16S ribosomal RNA". It matches the Rfam family "Bacterial small subunit ribosomal RNA". Lineage: Bacteria; Pseudomonadati; Pseudomonadota; Gammaproteobacteria; Enterobacterales; Enterobacteriaceae. The record is from RNAcentral.
UUGAUCCUGGCUCAGAUUGAACGCUGGCGGCAAGCCUAACACAUGCAAGUCGAGCGAUAACUAAACGGCGGACGGGUGAGUAAUAUCUGGGGAUCUGCCUAAUGACGGGGGAUAACUAUUGGAAACGAUAGCUAAUACCGCAUAAUGUCAAUUGCAAUUUAAAUUGACCAAAGGAGGGGAAUAGACCUUUCAUCAUUAGAUGAACCCAGACGAGAUUAGCUAGUAGGUAAGGUAAUGGCUUACCUAGGCUACGAUCUCUAGCUGGUCUGAGAGGAUGACCAGCCACACUGGAACUGAGACACGGUCCAGACUCCUACGGGAGGCAGCAGUGGGGAAUAUUGCACAAUGGGCGAAAGCCUGAUGCAGCUAUGCCGCGUGUAUGAAGAAGGCCUUAGGGUUGUAAAGUACUUUCAGUAGAAGAAGUAAUAAUUACUAAUAAUAAUUAUUAUUGACAUUAUCUACAAAAGAAGCACCGGCUAACUCCGUGCCAGCAGCCGCGGUAAUACGGAGGGUGCUAGCGUUAAUCGGAAUUAUUGGGCGUAAAGAGCACGUAGGCGGUAAAUUAAGUCAGAUGUGAAAUCCCUGAGCUCAACUUAGGAACUGCAUUUGAAACUAAUUAACUAGAGUAUCAUAGAGGGAGAUAGAAUUCCAGGUGUAGUGGUGAAAUGCGUAGAUAUCUGGAGGAAUACCAGUGGCGAAGGCGGCCUCCUGGAUGAAUACUGACGCUGAGGUGCGAAAGCAUGGGGAGCAAACAGGAUUAGAUACCCUGGUAGUCCAUGCCGUAAACGAUGUCGAUUUGAAAGUUGUAUUUUUUAAAAUGUGAUUUUCGUAGCUAACGCGUUAAAUCGACCGCCUGGGGAUUACGACCGCAAGGUUAAAACUCAAAUGAAUUGACGGGGGCCCGCACAAGCGGUGGAGCAUGUGGUUUAAUUCGAUGCAACGCGAAGAACCUUACCUACUCUUGACAUCCAAUAAAUUUCUUAGAGAUAAGAAAGUGCCUUCGGGAAUAUUGAGACAGGUGCUGCAUGGCUGUCGUCAGCUCGUGUUGUGAAAUGUUGGGUUAAGUCCCGCAACGAGCGCAACCCUUAUCCUUCGUUGACUCAAAGGAGACUGCCAGUGAUAAACUGGAGGAAGGUGGGGACGACGUCAAGUCAUCAUGGCCCUUACGAGUAGGGCUACACACGUGCUACAAUGGUAUAUACAAAGAGAUGCAGUCUCGCGAGAGGAAGCUAACCUCAUAAAGUAUAUCUUAGUCCGGAUUGGAGUCUGCAACUCGACUCCAUGAAGUCGGAAUCGCUAGUAAUCGUAGAUCAGAACGCUACGGUGAAUACGUUCCCGGGCCUUGUACACACCGCCCGUCACACCAUGGAAGUGGGUUGCAAAAGAAGU